AAUUUUUGAGAAAAUAAGGGAAUUUUGUUCAAAAUUAAAUAUCCAAAAAUUACAAAAAUCGGAAACAAGUAUAAUUUUUGGGGUCAUUAAUGCAGAUGCAUCUUAUACCCAAAUUUUAGAUACGGUGCUUUUAAUCACGAAAUGGGUUAUCUGGAAAACUAGAAAUAUUGCAAAAUAUCAAAAGAAAGGGAUAAGUAAAUUGGUGAUUUUAAAUAUGAUAAAACAUGAAAUGCAAUUUUCUGCUCAAUAUUUUAAAACCGAAUACGAAAAUCGAAGCCUUUUCUACUAUGUGUGACAUUUUUUGUAUAUAAAUAUAUAUUUUGCAUGGUCAGGUCAGUUCAAUGACCUCUUUGAUACUGAUUGAAUAAUAAUAUGUACACUGCUCGCAACUCCCUACAUGUAAUUUCUGUUGUGUAUAUAUUCAUGUAUAUCAUCUAAUUGUAAUAAGACAUGUUGUAUCAACAGGUUCAUAUUAUAAACAAAUAUUUACUCACCAUAUCUUUGAUAUUAAUCCUUAUUGGGAAUCAAAAUCAUUAAUCCAUUUUUUUAUGAAUGAACUACACAUCCCUUUAACAAAUCGCACGUGGUAAAUGAUCACUCGACCAGAAAUUUAAUGUAAUCGAAAUUAACAUAACAAAAGACUUGAUGUACGAUAAAAUUGAAACUGCUUAAUAAAUACAGGUAGCCUUUGUGAGAAAUAAAUGAAGAUAAAAAACAAACUUUAUUGAAAUAAUUAUAUAUGGUGAGAUGUAUAGAUAUAUAGAUCGAUAUUGAUUGCAGGUACAUGUACAUUUGUACAAGGAUAGAUAAUAUUUAUAAAGGUUGAUGUUAAUAAUUUAUAGUGGGAGUUUUUUUCUCAUUUGCUUUUCCCCGACAAAUGAGACUGUAAAAAUUGGGGCCCCCUUAGUUGCUUCCCUGGGCAACUGAGGGUUGAUGUAACAGGUGAUUGUUAAUAAAAUAUGUUUAAUAUUAAAAAACAAAAA
Molecule: long non-coding RNA, 983 nt
Filed under: Mytilus galloprovincialis (Mediterranean mussel)
Lineage: Eukaryota; Metazoa; Mollusca; Bivalvia; Mytilida; Mytilidae
Source: RNAcentral